UAGAGGAAGUAAAAGUCGUAACAAGGUUUCCGUAGGUGAACCUGCGGAAGGAUCAUUAUUGAAAUAAACUUGGUGUGGGUUGCAGCUGGCCUUUGGGCAUGUGCUCACCUUCAUCAUCUUUAUAUUUCCACCUGUGCACCUUUUGUAGACAGGAAAGACAAGGGAAUUUAUUGUGGUGCCAUUUUAGGCCCCCAUUUAUUUCUUGUGUAUUCCUUGUCUAUGUUUUUAUAUACCCCAAAAAUGUAACAGAAUGUUAAUCUAUGGGCCUUUGUGCUUAUAAACAAAAAUUAUACAACUUUCAGCAACGGAUCUCUUGGCUCUCGCAUCGAUGAAGAACGCAGCGAAAUGCGAUAAGUAAUGUGAAUUGCAGAAUUCAGUGAAUCAUCGAAUCUUUGAACGCACCUUGCGCUCCUUGGUAUUCCGAGGAGCAUGCCUGUUUGAGUGUCAUUAAAUUAUCAAAAAAAGAUCUUCAAUGCUCUUGUUUUGGAUGUGAGGGUUUUUGUUGGCGAAAGUCGACUCCCUUGAAAUGUAUUAGCUUGGUUGAYUAGACUUUGUCUAUUGGUGUGAUAAUUAUCUACGCCAUUGGAUUGUCUGCUUGUCAAACUGCUUCUAAUUGUCCCUUUAGGGACUCUAUUAAAUGACCAUUUGACCUCAAAUCAGGUAGGACUACCCGCUGAACUUAAGCAUAUCAAUA
Molecule: ribosomal RNA, 694 nt
Filed under: Phaeocollybia spadicea
Lineage: Eukaryota; Fungi; Basidiomycota; Agaricomycetes; Agaricales; Phaeocollybiaceae
Description: eukaryotic LSU rRNA
Rfam family: 5.8S ribosomal RNA (bases 294-447)
Source: RNAcentral